Haemonchus contortus (barber pole worm) is the source of this 83-nucleotide non-coding RNA. Lineage: Eukaryota; Metazoa; Nematoda; Chromadorea; Rhabditida; Trichostrongylidae. The record is from Rfam.
AGCGCGAUGGCCGAGUGGUUAAGGCGUUGGACUUAAGUUCCAAUGAACGCAAGUCCUCGUGGGUUUGAACCCCACUCGCGCUA